UAGGGAAUCUUCGGCAAUGGACGAAAGUCUGACCGAGCAACGCCGCGUGAGUGAAGAAGGUUUUCGGAUCGUAAAACUCUGUUGUUAGAGAAGAACAAGGACGUUAGUAACUGAACGUCCCCUGACGGUAUCUAACCAGAAAGCCACGGCUAACUACGUGCUAGCAGCCGCGGUAAUACGUAGGUGGCAAGCGUUGUCCGGAUUUAUUGGGCGUAAAGCGAGCGCAGGCGGUUUCUUAAGUCUGAUGUGAAAGCCCCCGGCUCAACCGGGGAGGGUCAUUGGAAACUGGGAGACUUGAGUGCAGAAGAGGAGAGUGGAAUUCCAUGUGUAGCGGUGAAAUGCGUAGAUAUAUGGAGGAAAACCAGUGGCGAAGGCGGCUCUCUGGUCUGUAAAUGACGCUGAGGCUCGAAAGCGUGGGGAGCAAACAGG
This 429-nucleotide ribosomal RNA is filed under the name Gemmatimonadota bacterium. Its description in RNAcentral is "Gemmatimonadetes bacterium partial 16S ribosomal RNA". It matches the Rfam family "Bacterial small subunit ribosomal RNA", at positions 355 to 776 of the family's 1533-position model. The record is from RNAcentral. Lineage: Bacteria; Pseudomonadati; Gemmatimonadota.